UAGGGAAUCUUCGGCAAUGGACGGAAGUCUGACCGAGCAACGCCGCGUGAGUGAAGAAGGUUUUCGGAUCGUAAAGCUCUGUUGUAAGAGAAGAACGAGUGUGAGAGUGGAAAGUUCACACUGUGACGGUAUCUUACCAGAAAGGGACGGCUAACUACGUGCCAGCAGCCGUGGUAAUACGUAGGUCCCGAGCGUUGUCCGGAUUUAUUGGGCGUAAAGCGAGCGCAGGCGGUUAGAUAAGUCUGAAGUUAAAGGCUGUGGCUUAACCAUAGUACGCUUUGGAAACUGUUUAACUUGAGUGCAAGAGGGGAGAGUGGAAUUCCAUGUGUAGCGGUGAAAUGCGUAGAUAUAUGGAGGAACACCGGUGGCGAAAGCGGCUCUCUGGCUUGUAACUGACGCUGAGGCUCGAAAGCGUGGGGAGCAAACAGGAUUAGAUACCCUGGUAGUCCACGCCGUANCGAUGAGUGCUAGGUGUUAGACCCUUUCCGGGGUUUAGUGCCGUAGCUAACGCAUUAAGCACUCCGCCUGGGGAGUACGACCGCAAGGUUG
Molecule: ribosomal RNA, 549 nt
Filed under: uncultured bacterium
Lineage: Bacteria
Description: bacterial SSU rRNA
Rfam family: Bacterial small subunit ribosomal RNA
Source: RNAcentral